CACCGUGGGCGGCAGACGUGGUUUAGCUCCAGCUAGGAUGCUCCUAAACCUGAAUCCUAGGAGUGGAGCACCAGGACUGCACCCUUCCAUUCUGUUCGCCCACCUCCUGCCCUCAGUGAAAAAAUAGAAAAGUGAAGCUGCGUGUGGCACAUCUGAAUCCCGACUUUGGUCUAUUAUAGUCCCUCUUCUGUUCUCAGGUAGAGUCGUGGUGAUUGAUGGGCUUCAGUACUCAAGUCUGGCUAUUUCAGAAACAUUUCUGGUUGUCCGUGUAAAUCUGUGGAAAGAGGCAACAAACAGAUUUGCGUCAGCCCCUGACCUGCUGGAUACCAGGCAUGUCCUAACUGCUGAACAGCAAGACGCCAGUUCUGACCUUCCACUAGCUCCUGAACUGGCUGGUCACAGAUGGAAUGAUCCUUGAGCCUGGAUGAGUUCCAGAUGGAAGAGCCACAGCUGAUCUAUCACUGUUAUAUAAGAUGAACAAGAAAGGAAGCUCUGAUGAUGUAAGCUAUUGAGAUUUGGGAGUUGGAAUUUCUUUUCUCACACAAUAUAAUUCAGACUAAGUUGACUGAUAGAAUCAGCAUCCUCCUCAGAAGCUGGAGAAUUGUUUUAAUAAGAAUAAAAGGAAAGUCAGAAGAACUUAAGUCAUGAAGAAUGAAUUGUUGAGGAGGGAGGGGGAAACUGUGGUCAAACUAUAAAAUUAAUAAAUCAGUGAAUGAAUGAAUGAAAUGAAAUGAAAUGUUGUUUUGAGAUUCUUAGCUUAUCAUCUUCAUACAUCCUUAGUAAGAUAUUGAACACCAAGCAAGCUGUUUUCGGUAAUACUGAAUGCCCAUGGUUAAAGGCACCUGGUAAUCUUUCUUCUUUCCAGGAUGAAUAUAGGUCUGGAAUUUUAAUAUCUAAACCUCUCCCUUUCCUUUUCUCUUAUAUCUCAUCAUUAAGCUAGCAUUAUGGACUUCUCUGCUAGGAGACCAUAUUGUUUGAAGAGUACUGGAAAAACAGACCAUCUGAAUUUGUAGUGGAACUCACAGCAAUGAUUGGGCAUGAAAUUCCAAACAGCGUUUUGGCCAAGUGCAGAGAAGUAACUGAGGUGAACUAGCUAGUCUGAUAGACUUGAAACUACACUUAUAUUAAAGGGAAAGACCACUGAAUGCAGUGCACGAGAGCGCUUCAGACCACAAAUCAUCAAGUCUUUGGUUUUGACUCCAGUUGCACC
Long non-coding RNA from Peromyscus leucopus (white-footed mouse), 1210 nucleotides. RefSeq lists it as uncharacterized. The record is from RefSeq and is a predicted model, not a curated record. Lineage: Eukaryota; Metazoa; Chordata; Mammalia; Rodentia; Cricetidae. The transcript has 4 exons.